Molecule: ribosomal RNA, 407 nt
Filed under: uncultured bacterium
Lineage: Bacteria
Description: partial 16S ribosomal RNA
Rfam family: Bacterial small subunit ribosomal RNA
Source: RNAcentral
GACGAACGCUGGCGGCGUGCCUAAUACAUGCAAGUAGGACGCAGUUGCGAACGGGUGAGUAACGCGUUGGUAACUACCUAUUAGAGGGGGAUAACUAUUGGAAACGAUAGCUAAUACCGCAUACUAGUAGAUGUACUUGCGUUGUUUUAGCUAGUAGGUAGGGUAAUGGCCUACCUAGGCAACGAUACAUAGCCGACACGGUAGGGUUAGCGGCCAACCCGGGACUGAGACACGGCCCAGACCCCUACGGGAGGUAGCAGUAGGGAAUCCUCGGCAAUGGGGGGAACCCUGAACGGGCAACGCCGCGUGAGUGAAGAAGGUUUUCGGAUCGGAAAGCUCUGUUGUUAAGGAAGCGGUACUUAACCAGAAAGGGACGGCUAACUACGUGCCAGCCGCCGCGGUAAUUC